Molecule: RNase P RNA, 343 nt
Filed under: pig gut metagenome
Description: Bacterial RNase P class A
Rfam family: Bacterial RNase P class A
About the family: Ribonuclease P (RNase P) is a ubiquitous endoribonuclease, found in archaea, bacteria and eukarya as well as chloroplasts and mitochondria. Its best characterised activity is the generation of mature 5'-ends of tRNAs by cleaving the 5'-leader elements of precursor-tRNAs.
Source: RNAcentral
AGCAGGACAGGCGAUCGCGGCUGACAAUACCGAAAGGUGUCAGGUGAGGAAAGUCCGGGCUUCAUAGGGCAGGAUGCCGGAUAACGUCCGGUGGAGGUGACUCCCAGACCAGUGCAACAGAAAUAAACCGCCGCGCAAGCGGUAAGGGUGGAAAGGCAGUGUAAGAGACUACCGCGUCCCUGGUAACAGGAACGGCACAUGUAAACUCCAUUCGAAGCAAGACCGAAUAAAAAGCGAUACGGCUGCCCGUCGUGCUUUUAGGUGGGUCGCUUGAGGCUGCUGGCAACAGCAGUCCUAGACAGAUGAUCGCUCAACGACAUAACCCGGCUUAUCGUUCUGCUUA